Molecule: ribosomal RNA, 928 nt
Filed under: marine metagenome
Description: bacterial SSU rRNA
Rfam family: Bacterial small subunit ribosomal RNA
Source: RNAcentral
CUGAGACACGGCCCCCACUCCUACGGGAGGCAGCAGCAGGGAAUCUUCCGCAAUGGGCGAAAGCCUGACGGAGCGAUGCCGCGUGAGGGAUGAAGGUUUUUGGAUCGUAAACCUCUUUUCUUGGGGAAGAGCAAGGACGGUACCCAAGGAAUAAGUCACGGCUAACUACGUGCCAGCAGCCGCGGUAAUACGUAGGUGACGAACGUUGUCCGGAAUUAUUGGGCGUAAAGGGUCCGUAGGCCGUUUAGUCAGUCUCCUGUGAAAUCUCUAGGCUCAACCUAGAGAGGUCGGGAGAUACUGCUAAACUAGAGAUUGUCAGAGGCAAGUGGAAUUCCCGGUGUAGUGGUGAAAUGCGUAGAUAUCGGGAGGAACAUCAAUGGCGAAAGCAGCUUGCUGGGGCAUUUCUGACGCUGAGGGACGAAAGCGUGGGUAGCAAACCGGAUUAGAUACCCGGGUAGUCCAUGCCCUAAACGAUGAAUGCUAGGUUUGCGGGGUAUCGACCCCUUGUGAGCCGAAGCUAACGCGAUAAGCAUUCCGCCUGGGGACUACGGCCGCAAGGCUAAAACUCAAAGGAAUUGACGGGGGCCCGCACAAGCAGCGGAGCGUGUGGUUUAAUUCGAUGGUAAGCGAAGAACCUUACCUAGGCUUGACAUGUAAGUUACCGAUCUGAAAAGUGAGGAACCCGCAAGGGAGCUUACACAGGUGUUGCAUGGCUGUUGUCAGCUCGUGCCGUGAGGUGUUGGGUUAAGUCCCGCAACGAGCGCAACCCCUAUUACUAGUUAUUUUCUCUAGUGAGACUGCCCCUAAAAGGGAGGAAGGUGGGGACGACUUCAAGUCAUCAUGACUCUUACGUCUAGGGCUACACACACGCUACAAUGGCCAGUACAGACGGUUGCUAAGCCGCGAGGUGGAGCCAAUCCGAUAAAGC